CACGCUGUAAACGAUGAGUACUAGGUGUCGGAGUUUAAAGAUUUCGGUGCCGUAGCUAACGCAUUAAGUACUCCACCUGGGAAGUACGAUCGCAAGAUUGAAACUCAAAGGAAUUGACGGGGGCCCGCACAAGCGGUGGAGCAUGUGGUUUAAUUCGAAGCAACGCGAAGAACCUUACCAGGUCUUGACAUCCCACUGACCGGUCCGUAACGGGACCUUCUCUUCGGAGCAGUGGAGACAGGUGG
Molecule: ribosomal RNA, 245 nt
Filed under: uncultured bacterium
Lineage: Bacteria
Description: partial 16S ribosomal RNA
Rfam family: Bacterial small subunit ribosomal RNA
Source: RNAcentral